GAUGAACGCUGGCGGCGUGCCUAAUACAUGCAAGUAGAACGCUGAAGGAAGGAGCUUGCUCUUUCCGGAUGAGUUGCGCACGGGUGAGUAACGCGUAGGUAACCUGCCUGGUAGCGGGGGAUAACUAUUGGAAACGAUAGCUAAUACCGCAUAACAGUAUAUGUUGCAUGAUAUCUACUUAAAAGGUGCAAUUGCACCACUACCAGAUGGACCUGCGUUGUAUUAGCUAGUUGGUGAGGUAACGGCUCACCAAGGCGACGAUACAUAGCCGACCUGAGAGGGUGGUCGGCCACAAUGGGACUGAGACACGGCCCAGACUCCUACGGGAGGCAGCAGUAGGGAAUCUUCGGCAAUGGACGGAAGUCUGACCGAGCAACGCCGCGUGAGUGAAGAAGGGUGUCGGAUCGUAAAGAUCUGUUGUAAGAGAAGAAAGAGUGUGAGAGUGGAAAGUUCACACUGUGACGGUAUCUUACCAGAAAGGGACGGCUAACUACGUG
Molecule: ribosomal RNA, 497 nt
Filed under: uncultured bacterium
Lineage: Bacteria
Description: partial 16S ribosomal RNA
Rfam family: Bacterial small subunit ribosomal RNA
Source: RNAcentral